Molecule: ribosomal RNA, 163 nt
Filed under: uncultured bacterium
Lineage: Bacteria
Description: partial 16S rRNA
Rfam family: Bacterial small subunit ribosomal RNA
Source: RNAcentral
UAGGGAAUCUUCCACAAUGGACGAAAGUCUGAUGGAGCAACGCCGCGUGAGUGAAGAAGGUUUCGGAUCGUAAAGCUCUGUUGUUGGUGAAGAAGGAUAGAGGCAGUAACUGGUCUUUAUUUGACGGUAAUCAACCAGAAAGUCACGGCUAACUACGUGCCAC